RNAcentral lists this ribosomal RNA (370 nucleotides) under uncultured bacterium. RNAcentral describes it as "bacterial SSU rRNA". It matches the Rfam family "Bacterial small subunit ribosomal RNA", at positions 29 to 396 of the family's 1533-position model. The record is from RNAcentral.
AUUGAACGCUGGCGGCAUGCCUUACACGUGCAAGUCGAACGGUAACGCGGGGCAACCUGGCGACGAGUGGCGAACGGGUGAGUAACACAUCGGAACGUGCCCAGUAGUGGGGGGAUAGCCCGGCGAAAGCCGGAUUAAUACCGCAUACGACCUACGGGUGAAAGCGGGGGAUCGCAAGACCUCGCGCUAUUGGAGCGGCCGAUGGGCAGAUUAGGGUAGUUGGUGGGGUAAAGGCCCUACCAAGCCCGCGAAUCUGUAGCUGGUCUGAGAGGACGACCAGCCACACUGGGGACUGAGACACGGCCCAGACUCCUACGGGAGGCAGCAGUGGGGAAUUUUGGACAAUGGGCGCAAGCCUGAUCCAGCCAUG